GAAGAGCGGCGAACGGGUGAGUAACGCGUGGGAAAUCUGCCGAGUAGCGGGGGACAACGUUUGGAAACGAACGCUAAUACCGCAUAACAAUGAGAAUCGCAUGAUUCUUAUUUAAAAGAAGCAAUUGCUUCACUACUUGAUGAUCCCGCGUUGUAUUAGCUAGUUGGUAGUGUAAAGGACUACCAAGGCGAUGAUACAUAGCCGACCUGAGAGGGUGAUCGGCCACACUGGGACUGAGACACGGCCCAGACUCCUACGGGAGGCAGCAGUAGGGAAUCUUCGGCAAUGGGGGCAACCCUGACCGAGCAACGCCGCGUGAGUGAAGAAGGUUUUCGGAUCGUAAAACUCUGUUGUUAGAGAAGAACGUUAAGUAGAGUGGAAAAUUACUUAAGUGACGGUAUCUAACCAGAAAGGGACGGCUAACUACGCGCCAGCAGCCGCGGUAAUACGUAGGUCCCAAGCGUUGUCCGGAUUUAUUGGGCGUAAAGCGAGCGCAGGUGGUUUCUUAAGUCUGAUGUAAAAGGCAGUGGCUCAACCAUUGUGUGCAUUGGAAACUGGGAGGCUUGAGUGCAGGAGAGGAGAGUGGAAUUCCAUGUGUAGCGGUGAAACGCGUAGAUAUAUGGAGGAACACCGGAGGCGA
RNAcentral lists this ribosomal RNA (640 nucleotides) under uncultured Lactococcus sp. Its description in RNAcentral is "bacterial SSU rRNA". It matches the Rfam family "Bacterial small subunit ribosomal RNA", at positions 90 to 718 of the family's 1533-position model. The record is from RNAcentral. Lineage: Bacteria; Bacillati; Bacillota; Bacilli; Lactobacillales; Streptococcaceae.